CUUUUUUUUUUUUUUUUUUUUUGAGACAGAAUCUCGGAAUCUCGCUCUGUCGCCCAGGCUGGAGUGCAGUGGUGCAAUCUUGGCUCACUGCAAGCUCCACCUCCUGGAUUCCUGCCAUUCUCCUGCCUCAGCCUCCCGAGUAGCUGGGACUACAGGCACCUGCCACCAUGGUGGGCCAAUUUUUUGUAUUUUUGGUAGAGAUGGGGUUUCACCAUGUUAGCCAGGAUGGUCUCGAUCUCCUGACCUCAUGAUUCGCCCGCCUCGGCCUCCCAACGUGCUGGGAUUACAGGCGUGAGCCACCGCGCCUGGCCUAAAUCUUUUAAGGAGACUCAGUCUUUGUGGCCUGACACUUGGGGAACAGUCAGCUUCAGGAAGUUGGGAUGCCACACCUUUGUUUCUUGAACCAUUUAGGGAGGUGUUUCUUGAACCAUUUUGAAAUCAGAAGUGUGAGUCCUCCAGCCCUGACUUUUUUUUCAAGAUUGUUUUGGCUAUUUCAGGUCCCUUGCAAUCCCAUAUGAAUUUUUUAUUUUUUAUUUUUUGAGACCGACUCUCACUCUGUUGCCCAGGCUGGAGUGCGGUUGCAUGAUCUCAGCUCACUGCAAGCUCCACCUCCCGGGUUCAAGUGAUUCUUGUGCCUCAGCCUCCUGAGUAGCUUGGACUACAGACGUGAGCCACCAUGUCCAGCUAAUUCUUGUAUUUUUAGUAGAGGCGGGCUUUCACGACGUUGGCCAGGCUGAUCUCGAACUCCUGACCUCAGGGGAUACGCCCGCCUCGGCCUCCCAAAGUGCUGAGAUUUUGGUGUGAACCAAUGCGCCUGGCCACAAUCACAUAUGAAUUUGAGGAUAUGCUUUUUCCAUUGAGCAAAAAAGCUAUUGGGAUUUUUAUAGGGAUUGUGUUGAAUCUGUACAUUGUUUUGGGUAUUGUCAUCUUAACAAUACUAAGUCUUCCAGUUUAUGAAUGUGGGUAACUUCUAAUUUAUUUAUUUCUUCAUUAAUCUCUUUCAGCAAUGUUUUUACAGUUUUCAGUGUAUAAUAUUUACUUCUUUGGAUAAAUUUAUUCCUAAGUAUCUUAUACUUUUUGAUGCGAUUGUAAUGCAGAUAGAAUUGCUUUAUUUCCUUUUCAAAUAUCCACUGCUGAUGUAUAGACAACUGAUUUUUGUGUGUUGAUUUUAUAACCUGCAACUUUGUUGAAUUCAUUUAUUAGUUCAAGUAGGUUUCUUGUAGAUUCUUUGGUCGUAGAGAUACAGUUUUACUUCUUUCUUUCCCAUUUGGAUGCUCUUUCUUUCUGCUUCCUGUCAACUUGCUCUGGCUAGAAUUUUCAGUAGGAUGUUGAAUAGCAGUUUUGAAAGCAGGCAUCUGCAUUCCUGGUGAUCAAACUAAUUAAAUUAAAAUACAUGUAAUUAUUUAGUUUGAGACAAUUAGAUUUAAAUGGCUAGGUUAGGGCCUUAAUCCAAUAUGAUUGGUUUCUGUAUAAGAAGAAGAAAUAUCACAGUGUGCAUGCACAGAAGUACGACCAUGUGAAGAGGUAGCAAGAGAGCAGCAAUCUACAAGCCAAGGAAAGAGGCCACAGAGGAAACCAACCCUGCCAGCAUCUUGAUCUUGGACUUCCAGCUUCCAGAACUGCCUUGUUCUUCUACCUUAUGAUGAUUCAAGCAAUGCCUGCUGCUUUUCCAAUCUGGGUUAGUUCAGAGUUAGGCAAACAGAGAACCAGGGACCCCACUCCCAUGCCGACAGUAUGGGCUGCUGUCUUCAGGACCAUUGCAAGUGUCCUUCACGGUUCGGUUCACAUUUCACAAGCCCCAUGAAGUCUAUCUGGAUUUUCGAUGGAUGUCUUGCCUUUUCCUCUACACACUACAGGAAGAGUGGCCACCCCUGCCAAGGGCCUAGUAUAGUACCCUAUACAUGUAGCUGAUCAGUUGAUUGUUACUGAUCAUAUGUAUCCUGCAUCAUGUUAUAAAAAAUUAACACAGUGCUUGGCACAUACUUGUACUGAGUAAGUAUUUGCUGAAUUGACUUAAAGUGUUGGAUGCCAUAGACCUCUGAGAAUAUAUAAUUUCUAUGUAUCACUCUCCUAGCAGAAUAAGAGAAUAUUAGAACUUGGGAAGAAGUCACAUCUAAUUCUUUUCUAUUUUUAUUUCAUUUUAUUUCUUUUUUUUAGAAGUGAGGUCUCACUCUGUCACCCAUUCUGGGGUGCAAUGGCAUGAGCAUAGCUCACUACAGCCUCGAACUCCUGGGGUCAAGCAAUCCUCCCACCUCAGCUUCCAAGUAGUUGCAGCUAUAGCUGCACACCAUUGUACAUGGCUAAUUUUUAUUUAUUCAUUUUUUUUUAUAGAGAGGAGGUCUCACUAUGUUGCCCAGGCUGGUCUUAAACUCCUCAAGUGAUCCUCCUGCCUUGGCCUCCCAAAGUGCUGGGAUUACCGGCAGGAGCCACUGUGCCUGGCCAGUUCUUGUUCAGCUACAAUUUAUUUUCCUAUUGCUUUUUGGAAUGUAAUUUAAACUUUACACUUCAGUUAUCCCACUUGUCAAAUGCAUACAUGAUUUCGUGGCCAAUAACCUGUACGUGGACACAGUAAAGUUAAAACAAUAAAGAUGCACGGAAUUUUGAUGCUGAUAGGUAUCAUAAAAUAAUGUGAUCCAAACUAAGGAGAUAUCUGAGCUCAGAGACAGUAAAAAGACCACCCUAAGUUUUUUUUUUUUUUUAAUCUAUCAAAGAGCUCAUCCAGCAUGCAAGUGUCCUGCUUUCUGAUCCAGCAGCCUUUCUAGCACCCCGGCCUUGAUUGUCAGAAUAGCAUCUGCUUAUAAGGUUUUUAAAUUAUUAAUACAGUAUACUAAAUCCCAGGAGUAGAAUAAGCCUUGUUAUUACGGCUAGUAAGUCAGCCCAGAGCAAUCUGAUAUUCCUGUAAAACUGAAUGGAUUUUGAAGUAAAGCAUCCUUGGGCUCACUGGCCUCAGAGGAGGCCAUCAUCUCAUUUACCUAUUUAAGAAAAACCCCAUAAAAGAGUGUUCUAUAUGGACAUUCAUUAUGUCUUAAGCUUUAUUGAUUCUGUUAUGUUGCCGUUAAUUAUAGGAACCACGAAAGCCUUCAAUUAGAUUAAAGCCAUAAUAAAUAAGAUUAGUAACACUUAUUCUGCUCUGUAUGUUAAGUGUUUUUAUAAUAAACUAAUGUUUAUCU
This 3170-nucleotide long non-coding RNA is filed under the name Homo sapiens (human). RNAcentral describes it as "long intergenic non-protein coding RNA 1359". The record is from RNAcentral. Lineage: Eukaryota; Metazoa; Chordata; Mammalia; Primates; Hominidae.